AGAGUUUGAUCCUGGUCAGAACGAACGCUGGCGGCAGGCCUAACACAUGCAAGUCGAGCGGUAGCACAGAGAGCUUGCUCUCGGGUGACGAGCGGCGGACGGGUGAGUAAUGUCUGGGAAACUGCCUGAUGGAGGGGGAUAACUACUGGAAACGGUAGCUAAUACCGCAUAACGUCGCAAGACCAAAGUGGGGGACCUUCGGGCCUCAUGCCAUCAGAUGUGCCCAGAUGGGAUUAGCUGGUAGGUGGGGUAACGGCUCACCUAGGCGACGAUCCCUAGCUGGUCUGAGAGGAUGACCAGCCACACUGGAACUGAGACACGGUCCAGACUCCUACGGGAGGCAGCAGUGGGGAAUAUUGCACAAUGGGCGCAAGCCUGAUGCAGCCAUGCCGCGUGUGUGAAGAAGGCCUUCGGGUUGUAAAGCACUUUCAGCGGGGAGGAAGGCGGUGAGGUUAAUAACCUCAUCGAUUGACGUUACCCGCAGAAGAAGCACCGGCUAACUCCGUGCCAGCAGCCGCGGUAAUACGGAGGGUGCAAGCGUUAAUCGGAAUUACUGGGCGUAAAGCGCACGCAGGCGGUCUGUCAAGUCGGAUGUGAAAUCCCCGGGCUCAACCUGGGAACUGCAUUCGAAACUGGCAGGCUAGAGUCUUGUAGAGGGGGGUAGAAUUCCAGGUGUAGCGGUGAAAUGCGUAGAGAUCUGGAGGAAUACCGGUGGCGAAGGCGGCCCCCUGGACAAAGACUGACGCUCAGGUGCGAAAGCGUGGGGAGCAAACAGGAUUAGAUACACUGGUAGUCCACGCUGUAAACGAUGUCGAUUUGGAGGUUGUGCCCUUGAGGCGUGGCUUCCGGAGCUAACGCGUUAAAUCGACCGCCUGGGGAGUACGGCCGCAAGGUUAAAACUCAAAUGAAUUGACGGGGGCCCGCACAAGCGGUGGAGCAUGUGGUUUAAUUCGAUGCAACGCGAAGAACCUUACCUGGUCUUGACAUCCACAGAACUUAGCAGAGAUGCUUUGGUGCCUUCGGGAACUGUGAGACAGGUGCUGCAUGGCUGUCGUCAGCUCGUGUUGUGAAAUGUUGGGUUAAGUCCCGCAACGAGCGCAACCCUUAUCCUUUGUUGCCAGCGGUCCGGCCGGGAACUCAAAGGAGACUGCCAGUGAUAAACUGGAGGAAGGUGGGGAUGACGUCAAGUCAUCAUGGCCCUUACGACCAGGGCUACACACGUGCUACAAUGGCAUAUACAAAGAGAAGCGACCUCGCGAGAGCAAGCGGACCUCAUAAAGUAUGUCGUAGUCCGGAUUGGAGUCUGCAACUCGACUCCAUGAAGUCGGAAUCGCUAGUAAUCGUAGAUCAGAAUGCUACGGUGAAUACGUUCCCGGGCCUUGUACACACCGCCCGUCACACCAUGGGAGUGGGUUGCAAAAGAAGUAGGUAGCUUAACCUUCGGGAGGGCGCUUACCACUUUGUGAUUCAUGACUGGGGUGAAGUCGUAACAAGGUAGCCGUAG
RNAcentral lists this ribosomal RNA (1504 nucleotides) under Klebsiella pneumoniae. RNAcentral describes it as "16S ribosomal RNA". It matches the Rfam family "Bacterial small subunit ribosomal RNA". The record is from RNAcentral. Lineage: Bacteria; Pseudomonadati; Pseudomonadota; Gammaproteobacteria; Enterobacterales; Enterobacteriaceae.